Molecule: ribosomal RNA, 221 nt
Filed under: uncultured bacterium
Lineage: Bacteria
Description: partial 16S ribosomal RNA
Rfam family: Bacterial small subunit ribosomal RNA
Source: RNAcentral
UACGUAGGGUGCAAGCGUUGUCCGGAAUUAUUGGGCGUAAAGAGCUCGUAGGCGGUCUGUCGCGUCGGCUGUGAAAACUCGGGGCUCAACUCCGAGCUUGCAGUCGAUACGGGCAGGCUAGAGUUCGGCAGGGGAGACUGGAAUUCCUGGUGUAGCGGUGAAAUGCGCAGAUAUCAAGGAGGAACACCGGUGGCGAAGGCGGGGUCUCUGGGGCCGAUACU